Molecule: ribosomal RNA, 587 nt
Filed under: uncultured bacterium
Lineage: Bacteria
Description: bacterial SSU rRNA
Rfam family: Bacterial small subunit ribosomal RNA
Source: RNAcentral
ACGGGUGAGUAACGCGUAUGCAACCUACCCUUAACUGUGGGAUAGCUCGGAGAAAUUCGGAUUAAUACCACAUAUUAUUAUGAACUGGCAUCGGUUUAUAAUAAAAGAUUUAUUGGUUAAGGAUGGGCAUGCGUGCCAUUAGCUAGUUGGUAAGGUAACGGCUUACCAAGGCGACGAUGGCUAGGGGGUCUGAGAGGAUGGUCCCCCACACUGGUACUGAGACACGGACCAGACUCCUACGGGAGGCAGCAGUGAGGAAUAUUGGUCAAUGGACGCAAGUCUGAACCAGCCAUGCCGCGUGAAGGAAGAAGGCCCUAAGGGUUGUAAACUUCUUUUGUACGGGGGUAAUUUUCGGGUCGUGACCUGGAUUGAAAGUACUGUACGAAUAAGCGUCGGCUAACUACGUGCCAGCAGCCGCGGUAAUACGUAGGACGCGAGCGUUAUCCGGAUUCAUUGGGUUUAAAGGGUGCGUAGGCGGGCCUUUAAGUCAGUGGUGAAAGUUUGCCGCUUAACGGUAAGAUUGCCAUUGAUACUGGAGGCCUUGAGUACAGAUGAGGUAGGCGGAAUGUGUAGUGUAGUGGUGAAAU